AUUGAACGCUGGCGGCAUGCCUUACACAUGCAAGUCGAACGGCAGCACGGGUGCUUGCACCUGGUGGCGAGUGGCGAACGGGUGAGUAAUACAUCGGAACAUGUCCUGUAGUGGGGGAUAGCCCGGCGAAAGCCGGAUUAAUACCGCAUACGAUCUACGGAUGAAAGCGGGGGACCUUCGGGCCUCGCGCUAUAGGGUUGGCCGAUGGCUGAUUAGCUAGUUGGUGGGGUAAAGGCCUACCAAGGCGACGAUCAGUAGCUGGUCUGAGAGGACGACCAGCCACACUGGGACUGAGACACGGCCCAGACUUCUACGGGAGGCAGCAGUGGGGAAUUUUGGACAAAGGGCGAAAGCCUGAUCCAGCAAUGCCGCGUGUGUGAAGAAGGCCUUCGGGUUGUAAAGCACUUUUGUCCGGAAAGAAAUCCUUGGCCCUAAUACGGUCGGGGGAUGACGGUACCGGAAGAAUAAGCACCGGCUAACUACGUG
RNAcentral lists this ribosomal RNA (486 nucleotides) under uncultured bacterium. RNAcentral's name for it is "partial 16S ribosomal RNA". It matches the Rfam family "Bacterial small subunit ribosomal RNA", at positions 30 to 507 of the family's 1533-position model. The record is from RNAcentral.